RNAcentral lists this ribosomal RNA (491 nucleotides) under uncultured bacterium. RNAcentral's name for it is "partial 16S ribosomal RNA". It matches the Rfam family "Bacterial small subunit ribosomal RNA", at positions 29 to 506 of the family's 1533-position model. The record is from RNAcentral.
AGUGAACGCUGGCGGUAGGCCUAACACAUGCAAGUCGAACGGCAGCACAGUAAGAGCUUGCUCUUACGGGUGGCGAGUGGCGGACGGGUGAGGAAUACAUCGGAAUCUACUUUUUCGUGGGGGAUAACGUAGGGAAACUUACGCUAAUACCGCAUACGACCUACGGGUGAAAGCAGGGGAUCUUCGGACCUUGCGCGAUUGAAUGAGCCGAUGUCGGAUUAGCUAGUUGGCGGGGUAAAGGCCCACCAAGGCGACGAUCCGUAGCUGGUCUGAGAGGAUGAUCAGCCCCGCUGGAACUGGGGCCCGGCCCAGACCCCGAGGGGAGGCAGGAGGGGGGAAUAUUGGACAAGGGGCGGAAGCCUGUUCCAGCCAUCCCGCGUGGGUGAAGAAGGCCUUCGGGUUGUAAAGCCCUUUUGUUGGGAAAGAAAAGCGGCAGGUUAAUACCCCGCUGUUCUGACGGAACCCAAAAAAAAAGCCCCGGCUAACUUCAU